UACAGAGGGGGCAAGCGUUAUUCGGAAUUAUUGGGCGUAAAGGGCGCGUAGGCGGCGUCUCAAGUGGGUGGUGAAAUCCCCGGGCUUAACCUGGGAACUGCCGUCCAAACUGAGAGGCUUGAGUCCGGGAGAGGUAAGUGGAAUUCCCAGUGUAGCGGUGAAAUGCGUAGAUAUUGGGAGGAACACCAGUGGCGAAGGCGGCUUACUGGACCGGAACUGACGCUGAGGCGCGAAAGCGUGGGGAGCAAACAGG
RNAcentral lists this ribosomal RNA (253 nucleotides) under uncultured bacterium. Its description in RNAcentral is "partial 16S ribosomal RNA". It matches the Rfam family "Bacterial small subunit ribosomal RNA", at positions 524 to 776 of the family's 1533-position model. The record is from RNAcentral.